RNAcentral lists this ribosomal RNA (372 nucleotides) under Escherichia coli. RNAcentral's name for it is "bacterial SSU rRNA". It matches the Rfam family "Bacterial small subunit ribosomal RNA", at positions 283 to 647 of the family's 1533-position model. Lineage: Bacteria; Pseudomonadati; Pseudomonadota; Gammaproteobacteria; Enterobacterales; Enterobacteriaceae. The record is from RNAcentral.
CUAGCUGGUCUGAGAGGAUGACCAGCCACACUGGAACUGAGACACGGUCCAGACUCCUACGGGAGGCAGCAGUGGGGAAUAUUGCACAAUGGGCGCAAGCCUGAUGCAGCCAUGCCGCGUGUAUGAAGAAGGCCUUCGGGUUGUAAAGUACUUUCAGCGGGGAGGAAGGGAGUAAAGUUAAUACCUUUGCUCAUUGACGUUACCCGCAGAAGAAGCACCGGCUAACUCCGUGCCAGCAGCCGCGGUAAUACGGAGGGUGCAAGCGUUAAUCGGAAUUACUGGGCGUAAAGCGCACGCAGGCGGUUUGUUAAGUCAGAUGUGAAAUCCCCGGGCUCAACCUGGGAACUGCAUCUGAUACUGGCAAGCUUGAGU